RNAcentral lists this non-coding RNA (84 nucleotides) under human gut metagenome. RNAcentral describes it as "TPP riboswitch (THI element)". The stretch from base 6 to 79 matches the Rfam family "TPP riboswitch aptamer (THI element)", at positions 11 to 88 of the family's 105-position model. Rfam says of the family: Vitamin B(1) in its active form thiamin pyrophosphate (TPP) is an essential coenzyme that is synthesised by coupling of pyrimidine and thiazole moieties in bacteria. The record is from RNAcentral.
UACGACGGGGUGCUUUAAAAGGCUGAGACGGAUUUUUUCCGAACCCUUGAACCUGAUCCGGAUAAUGCCGGCGUAGGAACGCUU